UACGGAGGAUCCGAGCGUUAUCCGGAUUUAUUGGGUUUAAAGGGUGCGCAGGCGGGGGAUUAAGUCGGUGGUGAAAUUUUGCAGCUCAACUGUAAAAGUGCCUUCGAAACUGGUUUCCUUGAGUGUAGAUGAAGUAGGCGGAAUUUGUGGUGUAGCGGUGAAAUGCAUAGAUAUCACGAGGAACUCCGAUUGCGCAGGCGGCUUACUAAACUACUACUGACGCUCAGGCACGAAGGCGUGGGGAUCAAACAGGAUUAGAUACCCUGGUAGUCCCU
RNAcentral lists this ribosomal RNA (275 nucleotides) under uncultured prokaryote. RNAcentral's name for it is "partial 16S ribosomal RNA". It matches the Rfam family "Bacterial small subunit ribosomal RNA", at positions 524 to 798 of the family's 1533-position model. The record is from RNAcentral.